CCUACGGGAGGCUGCAGUGGGGAAUAUUGGACAAUGGGGGCAACCCUGAUCCAGCCAUGCCGCGUGUGUGAAGAAGGCCCUCGGGUUGUAAAGCACUUUCAGUGAGGAAGAACGCCUGGUGGUUAAUACCCAUCAGGAAAGACAUCACUCACAGAAGAAGCACCGGCUAACUCCGUGCCAGCAGCCGCGGUAAUACGGAGGGUGCGAGCGUUAAUCGGAAUUACUGGGCGUAAAGCGCGCGUAGGUGGCUUGAUAAGCCGGUUGUGAAAGCCCCGGGCUCAACCUGGGAACGGCAUCCGGAACUGUCAAGCUAGAGUGCAGGAGAGGAAGGUGGAAUUCCCGGUGUAGCGGUGAAAUGCGUAGAGAUCGGGAGGAAUACCAGUGGCGAAGGCGGCCUUCUGGACUGACACUGACACUGAGGUGCGAAAGCGUGGGUAGCAAACAGGAUUAGAUACCCCAGUAGUC
RNAcentral lists this ribosomal RNA (465 nucleotides) under Vreelandella stevensii. RNAcentral describes it as "partial 16S ribosomal RNA". It matches the Rfam family "Bacterial small subunit ribosomal RNA", at positions 338 to 795 of the family's 1533-position model. Lineage: Bacteria; Pseudomonadati; Pseudomonadota; Gammaproteobacteria; Oceanospirillales; Halomonadaceae. The record is from RNAcentral.